This 260-nucleotide ribosomal RNA is filed under the name uncultured Glomus. RNAcentral describes it as "partial 18S ribosomal RNA". It matches the Rfam family "Eukaryotic small subunit ribosomal RNA", at positions 624 to 886 of the family's 1831-position model. Lineage: Eukaryota; Fungi; Glomeromycota; Glomeromycetes; Glomerales; Glomeraceae. The record is from RNAcentral.
AAGCUCGUAGUUGAAUUUCGGGGUUAGUAGGUUGGUCAUGCCUCUGGUAUGUACUGGUCUCACUGAUUCCUCCUUCCUUAUGAACCGUAAUGCCAUUAAUUUGGUGUUGCGGGGAAUUUGGACUGUUACUUUGAAAAAAUUAGAGUGUUUAAAGCAAGCUAACGCUUGAAUACAUUAGCAUGGAAUAAUGAAAUAGGACGUUCGAUCUUAUUUUGUUCGGUUUCUUAGGAUUGACGUAAUGAUUAAUAGGGAUAGUUGGG